Small nucleolar RNA from Cyprinus carpio carpio, 80 nucleotides. Lineage: Eukaryota; Metazoa; Chordata; Actinopteri; Cypriniformes; Cyprinidae. The record is from Ensembl.
UUUGUCAGUGAUGUUUUCCUACAGUUAAGUAUGAGUUUAACGACCAUGAGUUCACUUCAUGCACUACCAGCUGAGACAAA